AGAGUUUGAUCCUGGCUCAGGACGAACGCUGGCGGCGUGCCUAACACAUGCAAGUCAAGGAGAAUUCCCGACUUGUCGGGAUAGUAAACUGGCGAACGGGUGAGUAACACGUAGGUAAUCUGCCCUCGGGAUCGGGAUAACCUCGCGAAAGUGGGGAUAAUACCGAAUAAAAUCUCGGUAUAAUUUGUCGAGAUGAAAGAUAGGGCUCUUCGGACCUAUUACCUGAGGAUGAGCCUGCGCCUGAUUAGCUAGUUGGUAGGGUAAAGGCCUACCAAGGCAACGAUCAGUAGCUGGUCUGAGAGGAUGAUCAGCCACAUUGGGACUGAGAUACGGCCCAGACUCCUACGGGAGGCAGCAGUGAGGAAUUUUGCGCAAUGGGCGAAAGCCUGACGCAGCAACGCCGCGUGACUGAUUAAGCUCUGAGGAGUGUAAAAGUCUGUCGUAGAGGAAGAAACUAUCUGAUAAUAAUAUUUUCAGAUACUGACGGUACUCUAUGAGAAAGCUCCGGCUAACUCCGUGCCAGCAGCCGCGGUAAUACGGGGGGAGCAAGCGUUGUCCGGAAUCACUGGGCGUAAAGAGCGCGUAGGCGUC
RNAcentral lists this ribosomal RNA (591 nucleotides) under uncultured bacterium. RNAcentral's name for it is "bacterial SSU rRNA". It matches the Rfam family "Bacterial small subunit ribosomal RNA", at positions 8 to 579 of the family's 1533-position model. The record is from RNAcentral.